RNAcentral lists this ribosomal RNA (254 nucleotides) under uncultured Singulisphaera sp. RNAcentral describes it as "partial 16S ribosomal RNA". It matches the Rfam family "Bacterial small subunit ribosomal RNA", at positions 524 to 776 of the family's 1533-position model. The record is from RNAcentral. Lineage: Bacteria; Pseudomonadati; Planctomycetota; Planctomycetia; Isosphaerales; Isosphaeraceae.
GACGAACCGUGCGAACGUUAUUCGGAAUCACUGGGCUUAAAGCGCGUGUAGGCGGGGCGGAACGUCGGGUGCUGAAAGCCCCCGGCUCAACCGGGGAAGUGGCACCGAUACGACCGCCCUCGAGGGACGUAGGGGGACCUGGAACUUCCGGUGGAGCGGUGAAAUGCGUUGAGAUCGGAAGGAACGCCCGUGGCGAAAGCGAGGUCCUGGACGUUUUCUGACGCUGAGACGCGAAAGCCAGGGGAGCGAACGGG